CCCUUAGAUGUUCUGGGCCGCGCGCGCGCUACACUGACGAAUGCAACGAGCUUAUAACCUUGGCCGAAAGGUCUGGGUAAUCUCCAAAUUUCGUCGUGAUGGGGAUAGAUUAUUGCAAUUAUUAAUCUUCAACGAGGAAUGCCUAGUAAGCGCAAGUCAUCAGCUUGCGUUGAUUACGUCCCUGCCCUUUGUACACACCGCCCGUCGCUCCUACCGAUUGAAUGGUCCGGUGAAGCGUUCGGACCGUGGCCUUUGGACGGUUCGCCGUCUGUUGGCUGCGGGAAGUUCGUUAAACCUUAUCAUUUAGAGGAAGGAGAANUCGUANCA
RNAcentral lists this ribosomal RNA (327 nucleotides) under uncultured eukaryote. Its description in RNAcentral is "partial 18S ribosomal RNA". It matches the Rfam family "Eukaryotic small subunit ribosomal RNA", at positions 1470 to 1796 of the family's 1831-position model. The record is from RNAcentral.